AUGCACUACACUCAUGUCAAAAAACAAGUUGGAGUAGUUCUUAAGCUCGAUUUUGAGAAGGCUUAUGACAAAGUAAACUGGGAUUUUUUGCUUGACUGUCAUGAAAAACGCGGGUUUAAUCCCAAGUGGUGUGGCUGGGUCUCUCAGAUCCUAAAAAAUGGCACGGUUAGUGUCAAGAUCAAUGAUGAGGUGGGGCCCUAUAUUCAAAGUGCUAAGGGAGUGAGACAAGGGGUUCCUCACUCCCCCUUCCUGUUCAAUCUAGCAACUGAUUGCCUGACGAAAAUGGUGCUGGGAGCUCAGAAGAAUGGCCUUGUCAAAGGUUUAGCUGCUGAUCUUAUUGAGGAUGGGGUGGGCAUCUUGCAAUAUGCUGAUGAUACGGUGCUGUGCUUUGAACAUGAUGUUGACAAAGCUGUCAACAUCAAACUCUUAUUAUAUCUCUUUGAGCUUAUGUCAGGACUUAAGAUCAACUUUGAGAAGAGGAAAUUUCAGUAUUGGGGGUGA
RNAcentral lists this ribosomal RNA (501 nucleotides) under Triticum aestivum (bread wheat). RNAcentral's name for it is "partial small subunit ribosomal RNA". Lineage: Eukaryota; Viridiplantae; Streptophyta; Magnoliopsida; Poales; Poaceae. The record is from RNAcentral.